This 252-nucleotide ribosomal RNA is filed under the name uncultured bacterium. Its description in RNAcentral is "partial 16S ribosomal RNA". It matches the Rfam family "Bacterial small subunit ribosomal RNA", at positions 524 to 776 of the family's 1533-position model. The record is from RNAcentral.
UACGGAGGAUUCGAGCGUUAUCCGGAUUUAUUGGGUUUAAAGGGUGCGUAGGCGGUUUAUUAAGUUGAGGGUCAAAUAGCGAGGCUUAACCUUGUUGCGCCUUCAAAACUAAUAAGCUAGAGUAUGGAUGAGGUAAGCGGAAUCAGGUAAGUAGCGGUAAAAUGCAUAGAUAUAUCUGGGAACACCGAUAGCGUAGGCAGCUUACGAAUACAUUACUGACGCUGAGGCACGAAAGCGUGGGGAGCGAACAGG